GUGCUGACAUCCUACUUGGUCCUAGCUUUCUCUAAGGGGUGUGUGUGUGUGUUUUCCUAAAUCUCCUAUGUCUUCCCUCAGAGACAGCUUGACACAGCUGGUCCACGGCACUUCUGAUUGAAGCUUGAAGGUGUCUCAUCUCCAGGAAGAACAGCCCAUGGAGAGUGCCAUUACAGCCCAGCGCAAGUAUACACGGAUGUGGCAGUUUACUAACAUCUGCGUCAUUAGCCAAACUACAGAGUCAAUAAGAAAAUCCAUGAAGACAGCUGGUGUGAGUUUCCUCAGCCAACGUGAAAUUGAUUUAUUGGUUCACAGGCAGGGUGGACUCCAGGGACAGGCAUUCUAUACGGAAAACCUUCAGCCCCAGUAAAGUGUCUUUGCUUUCCUGCACCACCUCUGACCUGGCUCUGCUGUGCGAUUACCACCUUCUACAGGCAAGACGAUUUUGCGACUCCUCAACUAAGCACUGAAGUUAGGAGCACUUGGAAGGAGGAUAUGGAGGACUUUUGCCAUAGCCAAGAGGUGAAUCAGUACUGGGAUUAAACCAAGAGCCUCAAAGCCCUCUUCCACUGAACCACAUCUCCAGCCUGUACACAGGUGGCUUCUAGGCAGUAAAUGUGGCCAGCCCAAGAGAAUGCAGGCCAUGGGCCUGGCAACAAUCUUUCUCCUGCUAAUCAGGGCCUGGAGGAGGUGAGAUGACCUGAAUGGAAAUGAACUCCAGACAGGACCUGGCUCUCCUCCCAGGGCACCGCAGAACCCGGAGAACAGAGUCCAGCAUCCCUACCAACUCAGGUUUGGUUAAGUCUUAUAUUAUCCCCCGCAGUCCUGGAGGUUAUUGGGGGUUUGGGGCUGGAAAACAAUACCACAUUCUUUCUCAACCCUGAGAAGGAAGAGUAGAGAAAUGGGUACGAAGUGAUGGACAGGUACAACGCAGGCACCCCUGCCAAGUCGUAGAAUGGAGGUGUCGACUUUUCUCUCUUACAGAUGGGGAAAACGAAAGCUUGGCGCACGUGGCGAUUGGCACAAAGUCUUGCAGCUUUUAUGUGGUAGAACAAAGUAAGAGCCAGACUUAGCUCUUUCCACACUGAGCGUGGGGGUUGUUUGAGAAAGGACAGCUUCCUCCUGGGGACCAGAGAGGGGAGAAGGAAGGAGAGCGCGCUGGAGAAAAUCACGCGGCGCAGGCACACAAUGGAAGGGUUGAAACCAGGUCUGUCCUAGAUAACUGGUGUGGUUCUUGCCAGGAGAGGAAGUCAGAGGCUAACUAUAGACCGAGGACCACGGCCCGGAGGAACUCACUCCGUCUCAGGAUUGCAGCUUUCUCUGUGGUUAUUUUCCACUGUCCUCUCUUUCCCUGCAAUGCCCAGUGUUUAAACCUAGAAAUGCAAAGGGGCAGCUAGGAAGCUGGUAGCCAACUUUGUCCAGUUCUGAGACUAGUUUGGAAGAGGUAAAGCGGAGAAAGGCCACGCUGUGUUGUUGGUGUGAGCAGCAUGGAGAAUUUUUAAAGGGAGGAGAUAGCUGAAUCCUUGGUGGUUUAUAAAGAGGAAAAAGAGCUCAGUAGAGUCACUGGAGCCAGCGCCUGCCCACAUCCCUUCUCCCAGGGAAUUUCUGGGCCCCUGUAAGAGGCCAAGUAUCAGGCUGAGCUGGUCCAAUGAAGAAAAACACGUGCUUCAGUUUGGCUGGCCAGGGAGGUAUCUCCAAGGAGGCAGCCUUAAGCUAGAAUCUGAGGGAGUCAGGCAUGCCAAGAAGAGGGGAAAUGGCCGAGGGAGAGAAUAUAAAGUCCCAGAGAAAAAGGAGAAGCAAGUAGGCAGAGCAGUGUGGCUAUCGUGGAUUGCGCUAGGGGAGAGAAGCAGGAGGUGGUGGAGAGAGACAGGGUCUGGGCCCUGUAAUCAGACACUCCUGACCUCUUAAAUAGUGGCACAGAAGAGGAUUGAUGUUUUGGAAUGCGUCUUACUUCCCAGUAGAAAACAGACAUAGAAGGAAGCAAGUGGAAGAGGCCAAAAAAUUCAAAUUCUGCCAUCCAAGUCAAUGACCCUACCUGAAGACUCCCUAUUUUUAAAGGGACACUUCACAAACCUUCACCUGCAUCCCAUCAGAGUUUUUGGUGACAACGAAGGGAUACUACAGGAGGUGGAACUUCUGCAGCUGGCUUUGAGCACAACCACAACCAUUUUCCUGCUUAGAGCUUGGAAAGCCUGUGAGUUGACCUCCAGAGGAAGACACCAGCAAACUGCAGCGACCAUGAAUCCCCAGGUGUUGGCCUCAUGGGAAAUCCUUGACUCAUUAAUCACGCUGAUGAGUGCAGUUGACUUAGUGUUAUGGUGAUGGUGGUGCCUAAAACUGAGUUAGCACUUGCUCCUGCCUGGCCAAGAGGCAGAACUUUAAGCAGAGAAUCAUGAUCAUUGACAAUGUAACUGUGAACUUCACCCCGGGAGAGUGGGCCCUAUUGGAUACAGCCCAGAGGAAGCUGUGCAGAGAUGUGAUGUCAGAAAUUGCCAGUCAUCUAGAAUCCAUUUCCAGUCCACGUGGCAAACAUGGCCGUCUAUACACAUACAGGUCAGCAAGAACAUCUGCAUCAUCAGGUCAAUGGAAUCUCUGACCAUUGAGGCUGUAACUGUGAAACUGGUGUUAGUUCAUCUUUAAUGGUCUCAGAAUUCGGCUGUGAAUCCAUCAGGACCUGGAAUUUUCCUUAUUGGAAGACUGCUUAUUACUUUCCUAAUCUCAUUGCUUAUGAUGGGUCUAUUUAAGCGGUUUACAGCUUCUUUGUUCAGCUUAGGCAGCUUGAAUGUCUCUAGGAAUUUAUCCAUUUCUGCUAGAGUUUCCUUCUUAUUUGAGUAUAGGUUUCAGAAAUAGUCUCUUAUAAUCUCUUGAAUUUCUUGGAUGCUUGUUGUGAUGUUUCCUUUGUCAUCUCUAAUUUUGUUGAUUUGAGGGGUUUUUGCUUCUUGUUUUCGUCACUUAACUAGGGGGGCUGUCAAUUUUAUUAACUUUUUCAGAGAACUGACUUUCUGUUUGGUUGAUUCUAUAUAUAGUUUUUUAGGCUCUACUACAUUGAUUUCUGCCCUAAUGUUUAUUAUCUCUCUCCAUCUACUACUUUUGGAUUUGGUCUGUUCCUGUUUUUCUAGAAGCUUUAGAUGAAUCAUGAAAUUGUUAUUUAUUUGAACUGUUACUAUUUUCUUUAUGUAAAAUGCAUAGAGCUAUGAACUUUCCUCACAGCAUUGCUUUUAUCAUAUCCCAAAGAUUUUGGUAUGAUGCAUGUUCAUUUUCAUUGGAUUGUAGGAACUUUCUGAUUUCUUCCUUUAUUUCUCCAAUGACCAAGAAGCUUGAUCUUAAAAUGAAAGUGGAGUAGUUUCUGAUUUAUUUCAUGUCACAAAAUGGCAUGGAAUAAUCCAGCUAAGAAACAAAAAUUCUAAAUAAAGCUUUUUAACA
Molecule: long non-coding RNA, 3423 nt
Organism: Dipodomys spectabilis (banner-tailed kangaroo rat)
Lineage: Eukaryota; Metazoa; Chordata; Mammalia; Rodentia; Heteromyidae
Exons: 7
Source: RefSeq, a predicted model, not a curated record